GGAUGAGAGGGCAAUCUGGCUGUGACAUCUGUCACCCCACUGAUCGCCAGGGGUUGAUUCGGCUGAUCUGGCUGGCUAGGCUGGUGUCCCCUUCCUCCCUCACCACUCCAUGUGCGUCCCCCCGAAGCUGUGCACUCGGUCCAAGAGGACGGCCUUCCCCAAAUAGAGACAGACUGGUUUUCAGUCUUGGGUAUAGUAGUAGCAGGCUGCGCUCCCCUGCUAGAACCUCCAAACAAGCACUCAAGAUAAAAGCAGAAAUUAACAGUUAUAUUGCUACAACCAAAGCACCUGGAAUUAUCU
Molecule: small nuclear RNA, 300 nt
Filed under: Erinaceus europaeus (western European hedgehog)
Lineage: Eukaryota; Metazoa; Chordata; Mammalia; Eulipotyphla; Erinaceidae
Description: 7SK RNA (ENSEEUG00000020342.1)
Rfam family: 7SK RNA
About the family: 7SK was discovered as an abundant small nuclear RNA in the mid-70s but a possible function has only recently been suggested.
Source: RNAcentral